GUCAUUCUGCAUCUAAUUAGUAGUAGAUCAGUAGUGCUGAUCUUGGCACCCAAAGCUGUCUGCUUUCCAAUUUUCUCUUGCAGUGUAGACUCGCCUUCCAACUUAAUAUUGAGGAUGUAGCAGAUGCUGCCAGCAUCUGCCUGUCCCUGAGACCUUUCCCAUCCCGGAGUGCCCUGGCUGCAUCUAGCCCAGCCCCCCUCAGCAAUUCUCAAUCAGUGACUGAUGGGCGUUGAGUUUAAAGGCCCUCAGGCGAGAUAAUUCGGUGGUCCAUGGUAUCUCAUUGGUAAAUCAUUGGAUGUGAUUCAUUUCUAAUCAAUUGCUGGGAUAGCUGGCUUAAUAAUUUAACUUUUUGGGGGCUGCCUUCUCUUCCCUCUUUUGCUGCCUCUCCCAAUAAACUAUUGAUAAUUAAAUCCUUAUCUCAGGAGAGGGAGAUAAGGAUUUAAUCUGCCUCUAGGGGGAGUCACCAUUAAGAGCUGUAGUGUCAGCUCGGUUCCUAUGAGGCUGUCUCUCAUAGCACAGUGAAAGAAGUACUGACAAGUGAACAGCCAACCUCCUUCAUAAAUAACGAGUAAAUAACACCUUUAAGAAUAGUGAGAUCAUGUUCUGACACUGGGGCCAGCUGAAGAUGAGAUUCUGGGGUGUUCAUUGAAAUGAAAUGUCACAAGACAAUCCAAGAAAAAGAGCUGAGCUCUUUCCCCAGCAGAGAGAAAACAUCAUUUUCUUAAUUCUAUAAGAAUCUGUCAUCUAGAUCUUUAGAUAAACUCUCUUGCCUCUUGUUUACAACUAUUUUCUGUGGAAGGAAUAAACAAGUGUUUUGUAUACACACACACAUAUAUAAUAUCUAUAUGCUUUCUGUCAUUCAAGCUUUCAUGCAUAAAAAUCUGGGAAGUCUCAUUGUGUAAACUGAAUAUCCCAUCUGGACUGUGGCAUAAACAAAAUAAAGGCUUUCAAGAUGGUGGCGUUUGUACUCAGGGUCAGCUUCACGGACAUGCAACAGAAGGGCCCUGCACUUGAUUUAAUUCUCUGCGGUCAUUGCCUUCAAAUCCUUAAUUAUUGUGAACAAGCCACCCCAGGCUCCCCCUUGGCACUGGGUCCUGAAAAUUGUUUAAUACAAGUUUAAUGAUACAAGAAAAAGAAGUCCAGCUCAAAGAACUACUGUUCCUGGUGAAUUUAGGGAAAAUUAUCACCCAAAAUGCAUGGUUUCCUGUCAGUCUGGAGGUUCCUGCUUUUCCUCGUCUGCCCAUGGACCCUGGCUGUUACACUAUAAAGGUUGAAUAACAAAGUAUCUUUGGGGAAAUCUAGAACCAACAAGGGCUUCCCUAGUGGCUCAGUGGCUAAAGAAGCUGCCUGUGAUACAGGAGAUGUAGGUUCAAUCCCUGUGUUGGGAAGAUCCCCUGAAGGAGGAAAUGGCAACCCACUCUGGCAUUUUUGCCUGGAAAACCCCAUGGACAGAGUCCAAAGGGUCACAAAGAAUCAGACACGACUAAGCACACAGGCGCUAUAGAACCAACAAAAGCUGGAGUUGCUCGAAGUUUCUGGGAGUCGUCAUUAAAGAUUUGCUGCACAGAGAGCAGGAAGAAAGCAGUGGCACUUGAUGAGCUCCGAUGCUUCUCAAACUGAUGCAUGCACGGGAAUACACACAGCUGUGACUGCUGCAACCACACGUUUGGCUUGAAGCCAGCAAGGAAGGUCAGGUGACCCAGAAAAUAAGGAGCAAAAGAAACGAGCCAUGUGAGCUACUUUUUUCUGCAUCAUGCAGGCAAAUGAACUGCCCUCCUAAAGGUAUUGAGGCAGGAGGUAGAUUUUCUAAUUGAGGCAGGAGGUAGAUGGGCCCCCCAGGGUUCAUUUCCUGUGAGUUGAAACUCCAAGAAGAGAGAAUAGCAGAACAAUUAAGGCGAGGAGCCUGGGCCCUGUCCAGACCACAUAUUUCUCGUUCAUGAAGUCAGGAGCCCUCUGACCACACAUGUGCAGAAAGCCUUCUUGGAGGCCAAAGAAGAGUUCUGUCAAGGGAUGCUCUACCCAGAUGCCUUUUCUAUAAAAUCUAUCUUGGCUAAGAGAUGCGUGUGCAUACAUGGGAGGAUCCUGAGAUAUACCAAACGUGGACUGUGAACCAGGCAAAUCAUAAUGAUUGACCAAAGGAAUCCUAGAAGAAAUACGCCUUAAAAGUGAUUCAAACCACCAUGAGGGUGCGACUCAGGGACUCUCCCUCUUAGCCUGCCCGUGUAUCUAUCCACAAGUACUGUACUCUUUUGCCUCCUAAUAAAUAUUUUACUUGCCUCACUACGUUUCAUCUUUGUGGAAAUUCUUUUCUACAAAGCCAAAGGACCAGGGCCUUUGUCACUGACCACUGGGCAAGUGGCUACAAUUUGGUGCUUUCACUGCUGUGACCUGGCCUCAACCUCUGGCUGGGAACCCAAGCCCCGCUCCAAGCCGUUGCAGGCUGAAGCCACCUAAGAUCAAUAUCUAGCAUUUACCAAACAUUUACUCUGUGUCUGGCCCUGUUCCAAGGUUUUUACAGUCCUUGCCUUCUUUAAUCCUUACAACAACCCUACAGACCAUGUACUAUUACUGUUCCUAUAGUGAACCGUCUUCUUGCCUGGGAAGAAAUCCCAUGGACAGAGGAGUCUGGCAGCCUACAAUCCAUGGGGUCGCAAAGAGUCAGACGUGACUGACUCAGCAACAACAAAGUGGCAAAUUUAGGACAAAUUGAGAGUGAAUGCAAUGCUUAUGCUCUUGCAUCCAGCAAGUCCUAGAGCCCGGAGUCAGACUCAGAGCCUAAAUUCCUAAUUACAACAUAGAGCUCCCGUCCCCAGAGAAAUAACUGACUCUGAGAGAUGUGAUGAGCAGAACCUGUGCUGAAAGGCCCCCAGUGGAGGAGGGGCAGGGGAAAGGCUGUGUGGCCAUGAUGCAAUCCUGCGCCCACAGUUCCGCAUUCCCCAAAGAGUGGGGGAGGGGCAGCA
This is a long non-coding RNA of Bubalus bubalis (water buffalo), 2960 nucleotides long. RefSeq lists it as uncharacterized. The transcript is spliced from 2 exons. Lineage: Eukaryota; Metazoa; Chordata; Mammalia; Artiodactyla; Bovidae. The record is from RefSeq and is a predicted model, not a curated record.